Molecule: long non-coding RNA, 199 nt
Filed under: Elaeis guineensis (African oil palm)
Lineage: Eukaryota; Viridiplantae; Streptophyta; Magnoliopsida; Arecales; Arecaceae
Description: long non-coding RNA (EGUI_LNC077319)
Source: RNAcentral
CUUGGAUCAACUUAAUUUCUAAUUUGAUUAAAAAAUUAAAUCUAAUUUAAAUCUAAUUUAAUCUGAUUAAAUUAGAUUCUUAAUUGGGUUAAGACCUAUCUUAAUUGGGUUGAUUUAGUUUGAGAAAUCAAAUUUGAAUAAGUCAUAGAUUGAAUCCUAGUAAGACUAAGAUUCCACCUUACACUACCUUAGGCCCCCA